This 1082-nucleotide long non-coding RNA is filed under the name Phocoena sinus (vaquita). Its description in RNAcentral is "lncRNA (ENSPSNG00000008126.1)". The record is from RNAcentral. Lineage: Eukaryota; Metazoa; Chordata; Mammalia; Artiodactyla; Phocoenidae.
GUUUGAUUAAUGACAUAUUGGUAAGAAGUAGUAUUUUUUUUUUUCAUGAAAGUGCUCAAUUUGAGAGAUGACUUCUUGUAAACAGACUCAUCUACAGAUGAAAGUCAGACCCCUCUAUUCUACCAAGACCUCAGACCCCUAUAUUCUACCGAGAGCCAUUCUUAAUGUGGUCACUUUCAGCAUUUUGCAUUGGUUUACCAGGAAAAUGCUCUUUUCCUAUGCUAGUUUACUGUACAUUUGACCCUUGAACAGCACAGGUUUGAAUUGCACUGGUCCAAUACGUGUUUUUUUUUCAGCAGUAUCUAGGAAGGAACCAUGGAUACAGAAGACUUACUAUAAAUUACGCACAGAUUUUUGACUGCUGGGAGGGUCAACGCCUUUAAUCCCUGUGUUGUUCGAGGGUCAUCUGUAAUUAUACCUAUCAAAUUUUACGUUAUAUAUAUAUAAAUACAAUAUUCAUUUUAUAAAAAUCAAGUUGUAGUACUACAUUUUCUUAUGUUAAAUAUGUAAAUUUUACUUCAUUUUAAUGUUGAAACUAACUAUAUCAAGGAAACAAAUGAUAAUAGUUUAAUUAAAAUGUGAAGAAAGCCGUUUGAGAUAAGAAAGAUUGAAAUUGUUUUAAAAGUUUAAUUCAGAAAUAAACAGAAUAAAUGAAAAAUACAUAUUGUUUUAGGGUUUAUUAAUAUGGUUUAAAAUACGUGGACAAGAAGUGGCUGUGUAGCUGGUAUUUGGCAUUGUAACAUUAAUAUAUGUUCUUGUAUGGUUUUAGUUUCAAAACUGUGAAAAAGUAUGGAUUCUUUUAAAUGAAAAGUAAGAAACUACCAUUAAAUAUUUUAAAUGUUCUCUUUACACAACAAAAUAUAGGUAAUUGAUAACUAAAUCAUUGAUAUUUUAAAAUCUAAUGACAAUUUUCAUUGAUAUUUAGUGUAUAUGUACAUAUUUUUCAAACUGACUCAGUCUCAACUGAAUAACUGAAUAGAACAUUCUCAAAAUAUAAGUGUGAUCUUUUACAUUAGAGGAAAAUAGAAUUUGAGAUUCAGAUCUAUUAUUCUGUAAAAUAUAUUAAAAAUUUGCAAAACCAG